RNAcentral lists this ribosomal RNA (510 nucleotides) under uncultured bacterium. RNAcentral describes it as "partial 16S ribosomal RNA". It matches the Rfam family "Bacterial small subunit ribosomal RNA", at positions 28 to 507 of the family's 1533-position model. The record is from RNAcentral.
GACGAACGCUGGCGGCGUGCUUAACACAUGCAAGUCGAACGAAGAGCGAUGGAAGCUUGCUUCUAUCAAUCUUAGUGGCGAACGGGUGAGUAACGCGUAAUCAACCUGCCCUUCAGAGGGGGACAACAGUUGGAAACGACUGCUAAUACCGCAUACGAUCUAAUCUCGGCAUCGAGGAUAGAUGAAAGGUGGCCUCUACAUGUAAGCUAUCACUGAAGGAGGGGAUUGCGUCUGAUUAGCUAGUUGGAGGGGUAACGGCCCACCAAGGCGAUGAUCAGUAGCCGGUCUGAGAGGAUGAACGGCCACAUUGGGACUGAGACACGGCCCAGACUCCUACGGGAGGCAGCAGUGGGGAAUCUUCCGCAAUGGACGAAAGUCUGACGGAGCAACGCCGCGUGAGUGAUGACGGCCUUCGGGUUGUAAAGCUCUGUUAAUCGGGACGAAAGGCCUUCUUGCGAGUAGUGAGAAGGAUUGACGGUACCGGAAUAGAAAGCCACGGCUAACUACGUG